AUACGGAGGGUGCAAGCGUUACUCGGAAUCACUGGGUGUAAAGCGCGCGCAGGCGGCUUGAUAAGUUGGAUGUGAGAGCCUACGGCUCAACCGUAGAACUGCAUCCAAAACUGUCAAGCUAGAGUCUGGGAGGGGAAGAUGGAAUUAGUUGUGUAGGGGUAAAAUCCGUAGAGAUAACUAGGAAUACCAAAAGCGAAGGCGAUCUUCUGGAACAGUACUGACGCUGAGGCGCGAAAGCGUGGGGAGCAAACAGGAUUAGAAACCCCAGUAGUCC
RNAcentral lists this ribosomal RNA (274 nucleotides) under uncultured bacterium. RNAcentral describes it as "partial 16S ribosomal RNA". It matches the Rfam family "Bacterial small subunit ribosomal RNA", at positions 523 to 796 of the family's 1533-position model. The record is from RNAcentral.